RNAcentral lists this ribosomal RNA (427 nucleotides) under uncultured bacterium. RNAcentral's name for it is "partial 16S ribosomal RNA". It matches the Rfam family "Bacterial small subunit ribosomal RNA", at positions 355 to 774 of the family's 1533-position model. The record is from RNAcentral.
UGGGGAAUUUUGGACAAUGGGCGCAAGCCUGAUCCAGCCAUGCCGCGUGUCUGAAGAAGGCCUUCGGGUUGUAAAGGACUUUUGUCAGGGAAGAAAAGGGCGGGGUUAAUACCCCUGUCUGAUGACGGUACCUGAAGAAUAAGCACCGGCUAACUACGUGCCAGCAGCCGCGGUAAUACGUAGGGUGCGAGCGUUAAUCGGAAUUACUGGGCGUAAAGCGGGCGCAGACGGUUACUUAAGCAGGAUGUGAAAUCCCCGGGCUCAACCUGGGAACUGCGUUCUGAACUGGGUGACUAGAGUGUGUCAGAGGGAGGUAGAAUUCCGCGUGUAGCAGUGAAAUGCGUAGAGAUGUGGAGGAAUACCGAUGGCGAAGGCAACCUCCUGGGAUAACACUGACGUUCAUGCCCGAAAGCGUGGGUAGCAAACA